Molecule: ribosomal RNA, 492 nt
Filed under: uncultured bacterium
Lineage: Bacteria
Description: partial 16S ribosomal RNA
Rfam family: Bacterial small subunit ribosomal RNA
Source: RNAcentral
AGUGAACGCUGGCGGUAGGCCUAACACAUGCAAGUCGAACGGCAGCACAGUAAGAGCUUGCUCUUACGGGUGGCGAGUGGCGGACGGGUGAGGAAUACAUCGGAAUCUACUUUUUCGUGGGGGAUAACGUAGGGAAACUUAUGCUAAUACCGCAUACGACCUACGGGUGAAAGCAGGGGAUCUUCGGACCUUGCGCGAUUGAAUGAGCCGAUGUCGGAUUAGCUAGUUGGCGGGGUAAAGGCCCACCAAGGCGACGAUCCGUAGCUGGUCUGAGAGGAUGAUCAGCCACACUGGAACUGAGACACGGUCCAGACUCCUACGGGAGGCAGCAGUGGGGAAUAUUGGACAAUGGGCGCAAGCCUGAUCCAGCCAUACCGCGUGGGUGAAGAAGGCCUUCGGGUUGUAAAGCCCUUUUGUUUGGAAAGAAAAGCAGCAGGUUAAUACCCCGCUGUUCUGACGGUACCCAAAGAAUAAGCACCGGCUAACUUCGUG